This is a long non-coding RNA of Acanthopagrus latus (yellowfin seabream), 3371 nucleotides long. RefSeq lists it as uncharacterized. NCBI's taxonomy places the organism in Eukaryota, Metazoa, Chordata, Actinopteri, Spariformes, Sparidae. The transcript has 2 exons. The record is from RefSeq and is a predicted model, not a curated record.
CAGGCUGGUACCUGUGUGAUGUGAGAACAAACUAUGGUGUGGACUUUGGUGAAUGUUGGCUCAACGUCUCUGCAGCGAGGGAUUGGCCCAAACCUGAGAGACCCAACAGUGAGAGAGUGAACAGGGUCAGUUGGGGAAUGAUCUUCCUGUACUGUGGACUGGGACUGACAGCAGCAGUGUUUGUUGUGUGAUUUCUUCUUCGUCUUUAUUCAUUCACUGUCUUGUCUAAGAAACAGAGUCCAGUGGAGCAAAUUCUAAAGAGUUUGAUCCCCAACUUAAUGAUUUUUAACAACAAUGAUAGCUGAACAGGGUCAGUUGGAUAUGGAUUACCCUCUACUGUGAACUGGGACUGACAGCAGCAGUGGUCGUUGUGUGGUUUCUUUGUCGCCUUUUAUUUAUUCCCUGUCUAAGAAACAAAGUCCUGUGGAGGAUUAUAGAAAGGUUACAGCUCAGCAGGAUCAGUGGAAACGGCUGAAACCCAUCCUGCCUGUUGUUCAGUAAGUGACUGUGAUAAAAGAGUCAGAGGAGAUAAACAGUAAUGGAGUUGAUCAAGGAAACCUUGUUCUUCACCUUUGUUGUCCAUAAUUUUCACAAGACGUCUCAUCAAACUCUGUCACUCAUUAGACAGAUCUGAAAUCUGCUGUGUGUUCACUUUACUGAAAUAAUGCUGAGAAACAUGUCGACUUCGUAACUCUGUGCAUUUUAUGUUGUUGCCUAUAUGAUUAAUAAGACAUGACAUUAACAUUGACAGUAUAUCCUGUAUAUGUAUUGCUCGCCUCUUAACUGGAGCACAUAAGACAGAGCACAUUACUCCCAUUCUGGCCUCCCUCCACUGGCUGCCUGUGCACUUUAGAGUUCAUCUUAAGAUUCUUUAAAUGGUCUCGCCCUGCCUUUCCUCUCUGAGCUGCUCCAUCCCCACGGUCCUGCCCGCUGCCUCCGGUCAGCUGACCAGCUGCUCCUGGAGGUACCGAGAGAAGCUCAGCUCUCCGCCAGCAGCAUUAUGUGCCCGCCUGCGACCGUCCUGCCAACAACAGGUGCUCUCAUCCCUGCCACCGGCCAGACUUUAGAUUCUCUGCGCUGACCUGAACCGGACCAUUUCCCGGGUUGGGUCGGCACUUGAUCAAGCAUUUGUGUGUGUGUGUGUGUGUGUGUGUGUGUGUGUUUUUGUAAUAACUCAAAAUAAUGACGGUGCUUCCAGCUACAAAAGGCGCAUCUCUCUCCUCCCUCCGCGUUGUUUGUGCCGCUGCAUGCUUUUACACAUGAGUGAGUGUCCUCGUGCAGAAAACGUGACUUCUCGUGCAUGUGACGUCACUCCCCGAGAUGCAAGAAGAAAAGCUGAAAUAAAUAUUUUUACUGAAUACUGAAAAUAAUAGUAACACACAGUGAUUUGAAUAAGUAAUUUUAAUCUGAUUAGUGGUUUGGAAAUAUUACCGUGUUAGAUUACUCCUCACUGAAAUAAGUGGUCAGAUUAGAGUAACGCGUUACCGGCAUCACUGAUUGUGUAGUGUAGGUGCAACAUGGAGCUUGAGAACGUCCGUUAUAACAGCCCACGUAUUGAAAAAAUGUCGGGUUUAAAUCGGGCUCAGGCUCAUAAUUACAGUUAAUGUGUCGGGCUCAACCACCAGAAUGUGACAGAGAGCUUAGGGCGUCGACCUGGCCUCCAAAUUGUUGUGCACCCAAUUCGACUGAGCAUCCAUCGAACGUGCUGAAACAAGUCUGAUCCAUGAGGGUCCCACCUCGCAUCCCAGAGGACUCAAAGGACCCAGACACCUCUGGAUACCCUCAGAGGUUCCGUGUCCAUGACCCGACAGGUCAGAGCCAAGUUCACUCCACAGUGUCGCCUCCAGGGAUCCGACAUGUUCCGUCACAUCGUAACAGAUGUUCAGAUGGAUUGGCAUUCUUAUUUAUUUUUUAUUUCUUGCAUGUAAAAACCACAGGAGCCGAUGAAACAGGUGUCAUAUCUCUUAUUGAUCAGAGCGUAAGAGAUGUGACAAGCUGCGAGCAGGGACAGCAAAAAAAUAAAUGAAUACAAUAAAAAUAUAAAAAUAAAGUGGAUUUGAGACCGAACAAUUCUUUGCUCAGCCAUUUUUUAUUUGGUUACUGAAACAUCUAUAAGAGCUUUGUUGGUUCUCCACUGUGUGCUGUUAGACAAGGAAUCAGUUGUGUGUGUGUGUGUGCAUGUGUGUGUGUUUGAGAUAAAAGCAACAGAAUCAAACCAAUAGAACAGAACCAAUAGCAUCCAGCCAAUAGAAUCAAAGCAAUAGAAUCAAAGCCAAACAGAACCUCCAUUCCAUCAAAGCAACAUUCCAUUCUGAUUUAACAGUAGGUCAACAGGACAACAUCUCUUCAGUCCAGCUCUUAGUCUACCACUGACACAGCUGUGAAAACGUGAGAGCACUAACACAACGAGAAGCGCAAAGAGAAAGUUGUCUGAUACGGACAAUUCUUUUCAGAGACAGCAGCAUUUUUCUGAGUCAGAUUAUACCAGGCGAAUAAAAUGGACACUAAGGACCACCACAGAGAAAUGUCUUGGCAAGGUCUUCAUCAAGAGGACGAAGACACAAAGUCGAGGCAGAAAAGGCCGAUACAUGUGUAUGAAAUCCCUCCCAACAGGGUAAAAGAAAUAACCACAGAGAUAGAGAAGCAGUUAAAAAGCAGCGGUGAUGAAACUGUUAGCAAUCCAAAGAUAGCUACUCAGCUGAGAGCUAACACCAGAAGUUUCAAACUGACCCCGAGGUGGAAAACGAGCUUCUUAGAGCUGAGCUCCAGGUGGAGAAGCAGAAGUUUCAAACUGACCUCGAGGUGGAGAAGGACAAACACGAGCUUCUUAGAGCUGAGCUCCAUGUGGAGAAGCAGAAGAACAAACUUCUCCAAGAAAAACUGGACAGAAUCAGUGAGCCACACCAUGAUAUCAGCCAAUGGUAUGAAACUGAAAUCAUGACGGUGAGACAACAUGCUGAAACUCUCCAGCAGGAGCUUGACGAGGAAGCCAAGGCUCACAAAAACUCAUUGCUGAAAUGCGUGGGGCUGCUUGACAGCGUUAAUGCUGAGUGGGCUGACCUCCGUCACAAGAUGACCAAAAAGGAGGAAUAUUAUAAGAGACAGCUGGAGGAGCUUGAAAAACAGCUUAAUAUUCAGAUCUCUCUCAACGUUGAGCUCUCCGAAAAGCUCGAGGUCUGAAAUUUUGGAUGAGACUCAAGUCCCUGAGGAGGAGCGAUGUGACCAGCAGGCGUCCACCUCCACUGCAGCAUUCCUUAAACCAGAGGUCUCAAACUCAAUUUACCUGGGGGCCACUGGAGGCAGAGUCUGGGUGAGGCUGGGCCGCAUCAGGUUUUCCACAAGAAAAGCUCAGAUAAAAACAUUCCAAUGUU